AGUGCCUGUGUGGCGCGGCUUCGGCUCGGGGUUGGGAAGGGAGCGGCGCCACGUGCUCGCUGGUGCCGGAGGGGAUGUGCGCCCUCGCCCCCGACCAGCGGCCUACCCCGGGCCCGAAGGGUGACUGCCUGUCCCGCGGCGCCGGUUCCCGCCUCGGGGCGGUAACGAAGCUCUGGGGUCUCGGACUUCAGAGACCUCUCGCUUGGACGAAGGCAGAACUCAGGCAGCAGAAUCGGGGUUUUCCUAGAAAAUGAGAGCUCUCUGGCCCCUGGCGAUUGGAUGAAGGCCUGAAACCUUUCUUUCCUGCUUCUCACCCAUGAGCAUGUUCGGAGUGACCUCAUUUUCGGCGAUCCAGGUGAGUUUACUGGAAGAUGUGUGUGUGCUGGGUGAAAAUCUGCUGAGUUCGUUUCUGCCUGGUUCUAUGUGCCUGAAAUGUAAUUGUUUUGUUUUAGCACCUUCCAGGUUUGUUUCGUUUGAUUCUUAUCUACGUAGUUUUUGAAUACCGACCUGCUAAGGACCCUGUUUUGUAUGAAUAUAAAUAAAAGGAGUCAGAC
Hippopotamus amphibius kiboko is the source of this 554-nucleotide long non-coding RNA. RefSeq lists it as uncharacterized. NCBI's taxonomy places the organism in Eukaryota, Metazoa, Chordata, Mammalia, Artiodactyla, Hippopotamidae. The record is from RefSeq and is a predicted model, not a curated record. The transcript has 3 exons.